ACGAGUGGCGGACGGGUGAGUAACACGUGGGUAACCUGCCCUUAAUUGGGGGAUAACAUUUGGAAACAGAUGCUAAUACCGCAUAGAUCCAAGAACCGCAUGGUUCUUGGCUGAAAGAUGGCGUAAGCUAUCGCUUUUGGAUGGACCCGCGGCGUAUUAGCUAGUUGGUGAGGUAAUGGCUCACCAAGGCGAUGAUACGUAGCCGAACUGAGAGGUUGAUCGGCCACAUUGGGACUGAGACACGGCCCAAACUCCUACGGGAGGCAGCAGUAGGGAAUCUUCCACAAUGGACGCAAGUCUGAUGGAGCAACGCCGCGUGAGUGAAGAAGGCUUUCGGGUCGUAAAACUCUGUUGUUGGAGAAGAAUGGUCGGCAAAGUAACUGUUGUCGGCGUGACGGUAUCCAACCAGAAAGCCACGGCUAACUACGUGCCAGCAGCCGCGGUAAUACGUAGGUGGCAAGCGUUAUCCGGAUUUAUUGGGCGUAAAGCGAGCGCAGGCGGUUUUUUAAGUCUGAUGUGAAAGCCCUCGGCUUAACCGAGGAAGCGCAUCGGAAACUGGGAAACUUGAGUGCAGAAGAGGACAGUGGAACUCCAUGUGUAGCGGUGAAAUGCGUAGAUAUAUGGAAGAACACCAGUGGCGAAGGCGGCUGUCUGGUCUGUAACUGACGCUGAGGCUCGAAAGCAUGGGUAGCGAACAGGAUUAGAUACCCUGGUAGUCCAUGCCGUAAACGAUGAAUGCUAGGUGUUGGAGGGUUUCCGCCCUUCAGUGCCGCAGCUAACGCAUUAAGCAUUCCGCCUGGGGAGUACGACCGCAAGGUUGAAACUCAAAGGAAUUGACGGGGGCCCGCACAAGCGGUGGAGCAUGUGGUUUAAUUCGAAGCAACGCGAAGAACCUUACCAGGUCUUGACAUCUUUUGAUCACCUGAGAGAUCAGGUUUCCCCUUCGGGGGCAAAAUGACAGGUGGUGCAUGGUUGUCGUCAGCUCGUGUCGUGAGAUGUUGGGUUAAGUCCCGCAACGAGCGCAACCCUUAUGACUAGUUGCCAGCAUUUAGUUGGGCACUCUAGUAAGACUGCCGGUGACAAACCGGAGGAAGGUGGGGAUGACGUCAAAUCAUCAUGCCCCUUAUGACCUGGGCUACACACGUGCUACAAUGGAUGGUACAACGAGUUGCGAGACCGCGAGGUCAAGCUAAUCUCUUAAAGCCAUUCUCAGUUCGGACUGUAGGCUGCAACUCGCCUACACGAAGUCGGAAUCGCUAGUAAUCGCGGAUCAGCACGCCGCGGUGAAUACGUUCCCGGGCCUUGUACACACCGCCCGUCACACCAUGAGAGUUUGUAACACCCGAAGCCGGUGGCGUAACCCUUUUAGGGAGCGAGCCGUCUAAGGUGGGACAAAUGAUUAGGGUGAAGUCGUAACAA
Molecule: ribosomal RNA, 1419 nt
Filed under: uncultured Lactobacillus sp.
Lineage: Bacteria; Bacillati; Bacillota; Bacilli; Lactobacillales; Lactobacillaceae
Description: 16S ribosomal RNA
Rfam family: Bacterial small subunit ribosomal RNA
Source: RNAcentral